Molecule: small RNA, 119 nt
Filed under: Flavobacterium sp.
Lineage: Bacteria; Pseudomonadati; Bacteroidota; Flavobacteriia; Flavobacteriales; Flavobacteriaceae
Description: 6S RNA
Rfam family: 6S-Flavo RNA
Source: RNAcentral
ACUCAACACGAAUUCUUUAGAAAGGGUGAGUUAUAGUUGUAAAAGCGUGCCGUGUCCGCCUUAGGCGGAGAGCGGAUACUUGACCAACUUAUUAGCCCUAAACUUGUUUUAAGGAGUUU